This 454-nucleotide ribosomal RNA is filed under the name uncultured bacterium. RNAcentral describes it as "bacterial SSU rRNA". It matches the Rfam family "Bacterial small subunit ribosomal RNA", at positions 340 to 786 of the family's 1533-position model. The record is from RNAcentral.
UACGGAAGGCAGCAGUGGGGAAUAUUGCACAAUGGGCGAAAGCCUGAUGCAGCUAUGCCGCGUGUAUGAAGAAGGCCUUAGGGCUGUAAAGUACUUUCAUCGGGGAGGAAAAACAAAACUAAUAAUUUUAUUUCUUGACGUUACCCGAAAAAGAAGCACCGGCUAACUCCGUGCCAGCAGCCGCGGUAAUACGGAGGGUGCUAGCGUUAAUCAGAAUUACUGGGCGUAAAGAGCACGUAGGUGGUUUUUUUAAGUCAGAUGUGAAAUCCCUGGGCUUAACCUGGAACUGCAUUUUGAAACUGAAAUACUAGAGUAUCGUAGAGGGAGGUAGAAUUCUAGGUGUAGCGGUGAAAUGCGUAGAUAUCUGGAGGAAUACCUGUGGCGAAAGCGGCCUCCUAAACGAAUACUGACACUGAGGUGCGAAAGCGUGGGGAGCAAACAGGGAUUAGAUACC